CAGCAUGCUUGUGCUCAAUUGCAGGGUCCUCGUUCUCGAGUGUGCAGAGGGCGGUGAGAGCUCAACUCUCGUCCCCACCUCCCACCCGCAGCUCCUCACCCGGUGGGUGAGGAAUGCCCUGGACUGGGGAUAGCCAGGUGGGAGUCCGUCGCUGUGUGGCCUGUGGUCUCGGAGUCGGUUCUCCUGGAGGCUCGCAUUUGCACCCCCUUCUUCGCAGUCCCCCUCCCAUAGACUUGCUCUGGGAAGCGCUUCUGCCUCCGACCCUAGCCGGAACCCCUUCGGGGCCAGAGUUUGAAGCCGUGGAUGUGCCUGCCUCGUGGCUUGUCCGAUUUGCACGGUGACUUGAUUACACUUUCUCAUUCAUGGUUACUUCCGAAGCGCUUUAGUGCUUUCCGUCCCUAAACCGCCAACAGCCAGAACGGCUUCUCCCCGCGGUUUGUCACUGAGCCGCAGGGCCCGGAAGGGCCUUCGUCUUACCCGGGAUCCACCUCUCCCCUCAUCUUCUCUGCCUGCCUCCUCAUACCACCUUCUGUCCUUGGAGAAACCCCCUCCUCCUCGCUGCCUGCCGGGCUUCGGAGUGACUCGGCAGAGACAGAGGCACAGGGGCUGCCCUGCUGCUCACCGGUCCACCCAUCUGCCUGGUCUUCUGGAGCUGAGGACUCGGGAAACCAUGCAAUUGAGGCAAGCCUUGGGCUGCUUUAGAGGCGCUGACAUCCGAGGAGCCUUCUCCUGGGAUUGAAGGAGCAAUGUUUGGAGGAAGUGAAAGAAGAGAGAGGACACAGAGCAGCCAGGCAGGGCCAGGAGCUGAGAGGUGCCCAGACCUGAGGCCUCCCAACAACUCUCUUCUUGGAAGGAUCUGGGGUGUUGCUGAAGGAAAAUAAAAAAUAUGUAAAAAGAUAACCUUUUGCUUUUCCCUCUCCAGGAAAUAGCCAAAGUUAUGUACAUAUCUUGGGGAGAUUUAGAGUAUAAACUCUAAGAUCUUUGGUAUUUAAGUGUCAACAUCGAUCUAUUUAUUGCUGAGCUGACUGUAACUGACUCAAUAACAAAUCUAAUCAUGUAUUGCACUGGAAAAGAAAUAUUCUCAUUAUGUAUUUUCUCCAAAAAAUGGCCUACCAUUGCGUUUGAAUACCUGCUGUAAAUAUCAAUAAUAUGGAGUAAUU
Molecule: antisense RNA, 1160 nt
Filed under: Pongo abelii (Sumatran orangutan)
Lineage: Eukaryota; Metazoa; Chordata; Mammalia; Primates; Hominidae
Rfam family: HOXA11 antisense RNA 1 conserved region 4 (bases 935-1160)
Source: RNAcentral